This 540-nucleotide long non-coding RNA is filed under the name Homo sapiens (human). RNAcentral's name for it is "HSALNT0312729". Lineage: Eukaryota; Metazoa; Chordata; Mammalia; Primates; Hominidae. The record is from RNAcentral.
AUAAAGAUUCCCCUACCAGUACGGAGUGAAAUUGUGAUAACUCCUGGCACAACCAUUAAGACCCUCAUCUAUAGUGGACUGGAACAAAGCACAGUCCAUGUUACACUUAGGUUAAAAAGAAGAAUGAAAACCCCUCAAGCCAGAUUUUAUGACUUUUUAUAUCACACUGAAAAGUCCAAUGAACUACAGAUUUCAACCAUGGAGAUUUGUGCCCUACUAUGAAACGGUGACUGUAACACAGAUUGAUGAAAGAUUCUGCAGGACGACAAAGGUUAAAGAUGUAGACCCGGAGCUAGAAGCCAGCACUGACACUGAUGGAGUGGACUGCGAUGAGAAUGCCCACAUUAUUGUCCUAUCCUCUGAUAACCAAUGUAAUAUGAAAACCGACUACAGAAGAAAGGAACAAAUUAAAUCCAUUAAUCAAGCAUAUCUCUGCUAAACAGUUGUUCGAAACUGAUGAACAAAUGAAAAAUUUACUGUUUGUUUUCAUGCUUGCAAGGAUUGGGGAAGAAAAUUAAUUAUAAGGUACUGGCCACACUA